CCUGAGCCUAGACGCAUGGCAGGUGUGGCUGCUAUGUCACAUUUGCAUCAGUAGGUGGCAGUAGAGAGGCUAUGGAUGCUCAAAGUUCUGACCUAUGAAUGUCUGAAUGAUUUGUAGCCUAAUAGU
This is a small nucleolar RNA of Acomys russatus (golden spiny mouse), 126 nucleotides long. RefSeq annotates it as small nucleolar RNA SNORA17. Lineage: Eukaryota; Metazoa; Chordata; Mammalia; Rodentia; Muridae. The transcript has a single exon. The record is from RefSeq and is a predicted model, not a curated record.